AGAGUUUGAUUCUGGCUCAGAUUGAACGCUGGCGGAAUGCUUUACACAUGCAAGUCGAACGGCAGCACGGGUGCUUGCACCUGGUGGCGAGUGGCGAACGGGUGAGUAAUGCGUCGGAACGUACCGAGUAAUGGGGGAUAACGCGGCGAAAGUCGCGCUAAUACCGCAUACGCCCUGAGGGGGAAAGUGGGGGAUCGCAAGACCUCACGUUAUUCGAGCGGCCGACGUCUGAUUAGCUAGUUGGUGGGGUAAAGGCCUACCAAGGCGACGAUCAGUAGCGGGUCUGAGAGGAUGAUCCGUCACACUGGGACUGAGACACGGCCCAGACUCCUACGGGAGGCAGCAGUGGGGAAUUUUGGACAAUGGGGGCAACCCUGAUCCAGCCAUUCCGCGUGAGUGAAGAAGGCCUUCGGGUUGUAAAGCUCUUUCAGCUGGAACGAAACGGUACGCUCUAACAUAGCGUGCUAAUGACGGUACCGGCAGAAGAAGCACCGGCUAACUACGUGCCAGCAGCCGCGGUAAUACGUAGGGUGCGAGCGUUAAUCGGAAUUACUGGGCGUAAAGCGUGCGCAGGCGGAUUGUUAAGCAAGAUGUGAAAUCCCCGGGCUUAACCUGGGAAUGGCAUUUUGAACUGGCCGUCUAUUUUAC
This 648-nucleotide ribosomal RNA is filed under the name uncultured bacterium. RNAcentral's name for it is "bacterial SSU rRNA". It matches the Rfam family "Bacterial small subunit ribosomal RNA", at positions 8 to 649 of the family's 1533-position model. The record is from RNAcentral.